RNAcentral lists this long non-coding RNA (244 nucleotides) under Gossypium raimondii (Peruvian cotton). RNAcentral's name for it is "long non-coding RNA (GRAI_LNC004636)". Lineage: Eukaryota; Viridiplantae; Streptophyta; Magnoliopsida; Malvales; Malvaceae. The record is from RNAcentral.
GGCACAACUAAGGAAGAUGAUAAUUUUUACAUUCUCUCUCCCACUUUCACAUAUGUAUAUGUACUUAGAUUAAUGUUAAGAUUAAGCUUAAUUAAUCUUAAUUAGUUAAUUAACAUAAAACCAUUUAAUAAUAUAAAUCAUGAUUAUAAUGAUGGAUGGAUUUAAUCAUUCCAUCCCACUAAUUUAAAAUUAUUUGGUCUAAUUGUUUUAUAGUCUCUAGUUUAAUUUCUAACUAGGUUCUUUU